UGUGAUCUCCUUUUUGGUCACCAGACUUCCCUUUGGUGUUGUAGAGAUCAUUUGCGGGUUACUCUUCAGAAGCCUCCAUCGCGGCUGGUCGUAGCUGUAGAAGCCUCUGAGCCAUUCUGCUCACGUUUUAUGACACGGCUUACUCGGAAGUGUGGGCCUUAGUUUUGCGCCAAGCUACGCAAACUGAAGUGCUGCUGCUUUGCUUUGCUUUGCUGUGCUUUUACCGUCUGUUCCCGUUGCGAGAUUUCUUUUCCUGCUGCUGCCAGCUUUUACAGUGGACGUCGGCGUGGACAGCAGCCAUAUGCCUGCCGGUUAUGGGAGUCAGCUGGCGUGCAUAUUGAUUGACCGUUAACUUGUAGUCGUGCAGACGGCAAGUUGGAGCAAUACGGCGAUUCCGUUUGCUUCAGAUUUUAAAGUUUUAUCCAGAUUGUAUGUUGGUUUUCUGUUUUGAUUUGCAGUUUGGAUUUUUGUUACGCCACUGGUGGGAGGCCCUUUUUCUAGCUGCAGAUCACCAGUGUGGUCUUGCAGUUGGGUUAUCCCCCAGCGCUACAUAUUAGUUUUGUUGUAAUAUAUUAAAAUUUCCUUUGUUUCUUUUAUUCAGAUGCGGAGUGCCGACGUGGAGGAGACUAGGGUGCCUUGGUGGUGGGACCCUUUGCAUGUACACACCUGCCUUGUUUGGUUUAUUAGUGUGAGUGUGUGAUUGUGUGCUGCACUUGUGUCUUGGUGUGUUUUCUUUUUUUGUUUGUGUGUGGCAUCCCUGCCCCUCCACUGGUAAGCCUCAGCUCUGAAUACCUUUUUAAGCAUAUUUGUACAUGAAUAUUUAUGAUUGUGCUUUUAUAUGGUGUUUUAAAUAAUUAUUAAUAAAUUGUCAAGUUGUUUAUCAUUGAACCUCGUCUCUGUACUGAGUAUAGCGAACCUAAGUGCCUUUUUGGUGAUUUAGUGUUACUUCCAGUAUUCUCUGGGUGAAAUUCCCAGGGUGGUGUUGUCUUUUAAAACUGUGAAAAGUAUUUACUUUCUUUCCACCUCGUGCUGCCACAUGGGCAACAAUCUAGAUAAACAGAACUACAGUACUACUUCAGGACUCCAAAAAGUCACCAAACAAAACUGAAUCUAUUUCACUGACAUUACAAUUCCUGUGGACGGCUAAACUUAAGCUUAAGUCGGUUAUUGUGUUCUUGGGGGGCUCUGUUACUUUUCCCUCUCCACAGAUGGAGCAGAGAAGAAGAAAAAGCAGCUCAGGAGUCAUCAGCCCCUCACCCCACACUUAAAGCCAGCUUGAGUAGAUAUUCUGUAAAAAGAGCUGUGUGAUAAAACCAAUGAUACUUCUGAGGCAGUUUCCAGCUCAGUCUCAGAGGAGAAACAAGAUUUUGCUGUCCCAAGAAGCCAGGAUGGUAACAUCACUGCCACUCUGCACGAUCCCAGCACUGCUCCAGAGAAACCUAAAGGAAAGGCCUGGGUGGUGUUCACAGAGAGACAGUUGAAUAUUCUUGUCCAUCAGUUUAAUUUGAAACAUUACUGUGACCCAAGAGAGAUGAAACAGCUGGCAGAGAUGACAGGACUGACUUAUAAACAGGUAAAAACUUGGUUUCAAAACAGACGGAGUAAGUUUAGGAGGAGGUCACAUCCUCAGCAUGUGAAUCAGGGCGUCCCACUUCAUUUUCAGGGAGAGGGACAGCCCCCACUCAGGCAGGAGUACACCCAGCACCUGGAUGUAAACUUAAUCACAAAUGGUGCAAAUUAUCAGGGCCCCUAUCCUCAUCUUGUGGAUAAUUUUGUGGCUGGACCUCAAUGGACCUUCCCCACCUCACCACAGACGCUUGGCUGGUCGAUGCCACCAGGCAACCGCAAUUAUGAAUUCAACCCCGGUGUAUGAAUGCACAACACAACAACUCCGGGCUUCACAAUACAAGUUUUGAAGGAGCAAGUGGAGAGCCUUGCCAGCAGCUAAUGAUCCUUUAACUACAAAUAUUGUCAUUUAUAUCAGCAUUCUUUGUAUUACAUUUUAAUCUUCUUUUUUUCAUGUAGCUCAACAUAACAGUCUCUUUCAGUAAAUGAAAGGAACAUGGUGAAUUUUCGGCCCUUUAUUUUUAAUCAUCGGACUAAAAAAAAAAUUGAAUUCAGUCGACUUUGGCUAUUGUAAAUACAUUUUAGUCUAUCCAAAAAUAUUAAGAGAUGAAGUCAUGAAAAUUUGUUUUGUUUCAGUUGUAUCUUCCAGUAUUUGUAAAAAAAUAAUGGACAUGAAGGAUAUUAUCUGCCUUGUGUAUGAGAAACUGUAAAUACAAUAUUAGUUUCACCAAUUCAAAACUUUCUACAUGUCUCAAAUCCUUCUGUCAGAGACUGAACAUCCAAAUGUUUUAGAGACUUUAGACCUCUAUCUUUCCAUGUUAACUUGAGCUACAAUCCUCGAUAUUCACAAUCACAGUAUGAGACACCAUGUCAAGCUCACAGUCUACGCCUCACUAUGUCUCCUGAUUUAUUUAUUUUUACAAAUAACCA
This is a long non-coding RNA of Oreochromis aureus, 2496 nucleotides long. RefSeq lists it as uncharacterized. The transcript is spliced from 4 exons. The record is from RefSeq and is a predicted model, not a curated record. NCBI's taxonomy places the organism in Eukaryota, Metazoa, Chordata, Actinopteri, Cichliformes, Cichlidae.